AGCAGCCGCGGUAAUUCCAGCUCCAAUAGCGUAUAUUAAAGUUGUUGCAGUUAAAAAGCUCGUAGUUGAAUUUCGGGAUUAGUACGUUGGUCGUGCCUUAGGUACGUACUGGUGUUACUGGUUCCUACCUUCUGACGAACCAUCAUGUCAUUAAUUUGGUGUGGCGGGGAAUCAGGACUGUUACUUUGAAAAAAUUAGAGUGUUUAAAGCAGGCUCGCGCUUGAAUACAUUAGCAUGGAAUAAUGAAAUAGGACGUUGACCCUAUUUUGUUGGUUUCUAGGGUUGACGUAAUGAUUAAUAGGGAUAGUUGGGGGCAUUAGUAUUCAAUUGUCAGAGGUGAAAUUCUUGGAUUUAUUGAAGACUAACUACUGCGAAAGCAUUUGCCAAGGAUGUUUUCAUUAAUCAAGAACGAAAGUUAGGGGAUCGAAGACGAUCAGAUACCGUCGUAGUCUUAACCAUAAACUAUGCCGACUAGGGAUCGGAUGAUGUUAUUUUUAAUGACUCAUUCGGCGCCUUACGG
RNAcentral lists this ribosomal RNA (520 nucleotides) under uncultured Glomus. RNAcentral's name for it is "SSU rRNA". It matches the Rfam family "Eukaryotic small subunit ribosomal RNA", at positions 569 to 1093 of the family's 1831-position model. The record is from RNAcentral. Lineage: Eukaryota; Fungi; Glomeromycota; Glomeromycetes; Glomerales; Glomeraceae.